GAAAUGCGAUACGCAAUGCGAAUUGCAGAAUCCGCGAGUCAUCAGAUCUUUGAACGCAAGUGGUGGAGGCUAAAACCUUCAUGUUUGUAUCAGUGUGGAAAGGAAUCAUGUAUCUUAAUGCGAUUGAAGGUUUCUUUGAAGCUUUCUCUCGUUAAACAUGGUUGGGUGGUUGGAGAAAUCCACUGCCAAAAACGAAGUAGUCACAGUAAUGUGAACAUUCGUUUUAAUGGCACUAAGGUGUGUUUUUCCUAAUAUACCUCCAAAUAACUUUCUAUCAUCUCAUUACACCUGAUAUAAGCAAGAUUACCCGCUGAACUUAA
This 320-nucleotide unclassified non-coding RNA is filed under the name uncultured fungus. RNAcentral describes it as "sequence contains ITS1". The stretch from base 1 to 98 matches the Rfam family "5.8S ribosomal RNA", at positions 50 to 154 of the family's 154-position model. Lineage: Eukaryota; Fungi. The record is from RNAcentral.